GAUGAACGCUGGCGGCGUGCCUAAUACAUGCAAGUCGAGCGAACAGACGCGGAGCUUGCUCCUCUGACGUUAGCGGCGGACGGGUGAGUAACACGUGGAUAACCUACCUAUAAGACUGGGAUAACUUCGGGAAACCGGAGCUAAUACCGGAUAAUAUAUUGAACCGCAUGGUUCAAUAGUGAAAGACGGUUUUGCUGUCACUUAUAGAUGGAUCCGCGCCGCUUUAGCUAGUUGGUAAGGUAACGGCUUACCAAGGCAACGAUGCGUAGCCGACCUGAGAGGGUGAUCGGCCACACUGGAACUUGGACACGCACCAGACUACUGCGGGAGGCAGCAGUAGGGAAUCUUCCGCAAUGGGCGAGAGCCUGACGGAGCAGCGCCGCGUGAGUGAUGAAGGUCUUCGGAUCGUAAAACUCUGUUAUGAGGGAAGAACAAAUGUGUAAGUAACUAUGCACGUCUUGACGGUACCUAAUAAGAAAGCCACGGCUAACUACGUG
Molecule: ribosomal RNA, 497 nt
Filed under: uncultured bacterium
Lineage: Bacteria
Description: partial 16S ribosomal RNA
Rfam family: Bacterial small subunit ribosomal RNA
Source: RNAcentral